UUUCCUGUGGCUCAGUUGGUAGAGCAUUGCACUAACAGUUCAAAGGUUGUGGGUUCAAAUCCUAGGGAAAG
This 71-nucleotide transfer RNA is filed under the name Danionella cerebrum. Its description in RNAcentral is "tRNA-Val". It matches the Rfam family "tRNA". Rfam says of the family: Transfer RNA (tRNA) molecules are approximately 80 nucleotides in length. Their secondary structure includes four short double-helical elements and three loops (D, anti-codon, and T loops). Further hydrogen bonds mediate the characteristic L-shaped molecular structure. tRNAs have two regions of fundamental functional importance: the anti-codon, which is responsible for specific mRNA codon recognition, and the 3' end, to which the tRNAs corresponding amino acid is attached (by aminoacyl-tRNA synthetases). tRNAs cope with the degeneracy of the genetic code in two manners: having more than one tRNA (with a specific anti-codon) for a particular amino acid; and 'wobble' base-pairing, i.e. permitting non-standard base-pairing at the 3rd anti-codon position. Lineage: Eukaryota; Metazoa; Chordata; Actinopteri; Cypriniformes; Danionidae. The record is from RNAcentral.